AUGGAGAUAAAGAAGAUUUGUCCUGGUUUACAGUCAGCACAUCAAAGAGGCUCUACAAGAAGCACAGACUUGGAGCACAUCUCCCUUACCUUCCCUCACUCUGCCUAGGAGGCUGAGGACAGCAGGAAAACUCCAGACCCCUGCCCAUGGAGGAUGAUCACCAUGCUUUUCACUGAACAAAACAAAUAAAAAUAUUCCAAAU
RNAcentral lists this long non-coding RNA (202 nucleotides) under Cyanistes caeruleus (blue tit). Its description in RNAcentral is "lncRNA (ENSCCEG00000015853.1)". The record is from RNAcentral. Lineage: Eukaryota; Metazoa; Chordata; Aves; Passeriformes; Paridae.